UCAAACUUGGUCAUUUAGAGGAAGUAAAAGUCGUAACAAGGUUUCCGUAGGUGAACCUGCGGAAGGAUCAUUAGAGAACACGCCCCCCUCGGGGGGCCUCUCAUCCCACACACACACACGUGCACCCUCGUCGGGCCUCUCGGGGCCCGUCCCUUUUUUUCCCAAACACAAGUCCUCGAACGUCUUCAUAUGAUAACAGAAACAACUUUCAACAACGGAUCUCUUGGCUCUCGCAUCGAUGAAGAACGCAGC
Molecule: unclassified non-coding RNA, 252 nt
Filed under: uncultured fungus
Lineage: Eukaryota; Fungi
Description: partial contains small subunit ribosomal RNA, internal transcribed spacer 1, and 5.8S ribosomal RNA
Rfam family: Eukaryotic small subunit ribosomal RNA (bases 1-73)
Source: RNAcentral